Molecule: RNA transcript, 1616 nt
Organism: Oreochromis niloticus (Nile tilapia)
Lineage: Eukaryota; Metazoa; Chordata; Actinopteri; Cichliformes; Cichlidae
Gene name: general transcription factor II-I repeat domain-containing protein 2A-like
Exons: 4
Source: RefSeq, a predicted model, not a curated record
CUUCCUAAAUUACCAUUGCAUAAUCCACCAACAAGCGUUAUGCGCUAAAAUGCUCAACAUGAAGGAGAUCAUGAAUGUUGCAACGAAGAUCGCCUGUUCUAUUCGCGCCAGAUCUCUUCAAAGACGGUUAUUUCGUGCACAUCUGGAGAAGGCUGACUGCGACCACUCUGAGUUGUUGCUACACACUGACGUGAGGUGGCUUAGUCGAGGGAAAUUCCUGCAAAGAUUUCGAGAGCUCUGUCCGGAGAUUAAGGAGUUUUUCCGUGUAGCUGGACAAGCAGAAUACAUGCAACUUAAUGACGGUCAGUGGCUGUUAGACUUGGCAUUUUUAAUCGAUCUGACAAACAUGUUGAAUGACCUUAAUCUAGAGCUGCAAGGAAAAGACAAAACAGUGAUCAACAUGAUCAGCUCAGUUAAUGCUUUCAAACGAAAGAUGCAACAUCUCUCUUUAAAGCUGCAGCGCCAUGAUUUGAUAAACUUUCAAAACCUGGCGUCAGAGCUGGAGAUGCAAGGGAUGGCCUGUUUGCAACUUGACAGUGCACGCUACACAGAGCAUAUUGACAAUUGUCUGUCAGAGUUUGACAAACGCUUUCAAGACUUUUCUUUGCUCGAGCCAGUCGCUACCUUCAUGUGCUAUCCUUUUCGGGAAGAUGCUGAGGUCGAUUCACUCGCAUCAAAAAUUGCAAAACUAUUUCACCUGAACUCUUCUGGAGUGGAAGAUGAGAUUUUGACACUACAAGCCGACAUUGAGCUGAAGUCCAGAGAUCAUGGACAGUUCUGGAACUUACUCACAGAAGUAAAGUACCCCAACAUGAGGAAAUGUGCUGCCUCUUUGACUGCAUUAUUCGGCUCCACUUAUUUAUGUGAGUCAUCAUUUUCCCACAUGAAGAUCAUUAAGUCCAAGUACCGUUCCACCAUGACUGAUGAACAUUUGGAAGUGUGUUUGAGGCUGGCCAUCAGCAGCUACUGUCCGGACUAUGCAUCCCUGGCUGAUUCAAUUCAGUGCAAGUCAUCAGAGUAAACUCAGACUGGAGCAGACGGGGAUCGAAUGACCAGCCUCGCGGUUAGUGGAUGACCUCAUCUAUCUCUUGAAGUAUAGCCACCCACUGAGUUUGAAGUAUGGAUCAGAUCCCCAUUCAAGAAUAUCAGGGUGCGAAGAUGCUUCCAAGGAAACCAUUAGUUUUCUUUGUCUUGCUGUGCGUCACUACCAUUGGAGUUUUUUCUAGAUCUUCAUGGAUUUUAACUGUGUACCAGGAUUCCUUCUUCCCUCAGAAUGGAAGUGUUUGUGCCUGCAACAAAUGUUUAAUGGAACAUGACCAAUGGCUUAGUGAACGUACGAAAGAAUCUCCUGAGCCAUUUUUAUCACCCACAAACAAUAUCUCAGAGGAUACAUUUAACUGGUGGAAGUGGACAAGGUGUUUCAGAUCUUCCCAACCAAAGUCAAUUUUACAAGAUCCAGCCCAGACCUUUGCAGGACUUGUGCUGUGGUUGGGAAUUCUGGCAAUCUCAAUGGAUCACACUAUGGACCACUGAUUGACUUUCAUGAUAUUGUCAUAAGGUGAGAGUAAAACACAAACACAGUAAAAGCUUUAAACCUUUUAAAGUCUUCAUGCAUG